CACGUAGGGGGCAAGCGUUGUCCGGAUUUAUUGGGCGUAAAGAGCUCGUAGGCGGUUCGGUAAGUUGGGUGUGAAACCUCCAGGCUCAACCUGGAGACGCCACCCGAUACUGCUGUGACUAGAGUCCGGUAGGGGAGCGUGGAAUUCCUGGUGUAGCGGUGAAAUGCGCAGAUAUCAGGAGGAACACCAAUUGCGAAGGCAGCUCGCUGGGACGUUACUGACGCUGAGACGCGAAAGCGUGGGGAGCAAACAGG
RNAcentral lists this ribosomal RNA (254 nucleotides) under uncultured bacterium. RNAcentral describes it as "partial 16S ribosomal RNA". It matches the Rfam family "Bacterial small subunit ribosomal RNA", at positions 524 to 776 of the family's 1533-position model. The record is from RNAcentral.